CGCGUAGGCGGCCUGAUAAGUCAGAUGUGAAAGUCCACGGCUCAACCGUGGAAGUGCAUUUGAAACUGUCCGGCUUGAGUAUCGGAGGGGAGUGUGGAAUUCCCGGUGUAGAGGUGAAAUUCGUAGAGAUCGGGAGGAACACCGGUGGCGAAGGCGACACUCUGGACGAAUACUGACGCUGAGGCGCGAAAGCGUGGGGAGCAAACA
This 207-nucleotide ribosomal RNA is filed under the name uncultured bacterium. Its description in RNAcentral is "partial 16S ribosomal RNA". It matches the Rfam family "Bacterial small subunit ribosomal RNA", at positions 568 to 774 of the family's 1533-position model. The record is from RNAcentral.